CUGUGCGAUCCCAUAAUGAGCUCCUCUCUGUGGCCCUGCGGACCAAGCUUCCAGAUUUAUUUCCCCUAGAAAGUGGAGUUCUGCGAUGCCCUUGGUGCAGAAUGUAAGGGUGGCAAUCGUGUAUACGAGGCUCAGGAGGAACUGGAAGUUGCAGUUAACACUGUGUGUGUGUGUGUGUGUGUGUGUGUGUGUGUGUAACAGAGGUUACUGGGUGUUGUUCCCAGGAGCCAUCUACCCUGUUUUAAAGACAGGCUCUUAAGUCUGGACUGGCUGGCUGAUGAACACCAGGACCCACGUCUGUCUGUCUCUGCCUGCCCAGUGCUGGGGUUAUAAAGCGCACACCAUGGUGUCUCUUUUGUGAGGAGAGGCGCUGCAGGUGAGGUGCAUGUUGGGAAUAUAUGGCAGCUGCCAGGCGCAAGAGGGUCUUCGUCGCCUAGGAGUGACUUCAUCGUUGGAUUCGGAGGCGACUAUAAACAGCUUCUGAUGCCAACAAUUAGGACUGACCUCCUACUCGAGAGCCUGACCACAAUGGAAGCUCCUGCCUGUGCUCCGCCACCCUCACCUCUGCAGGGAUGAUCCACCUCCUCCUCAUGACGCCCUGCAUGGGUGGCGUCAGGGACAACUGCCUUUCAGUGCCGGUUGUCCCAUGUUUGUCUCACUGCAUCUGGGUAACGUACUAGGACCCACAGGGCAGAAUAAUCGUUAGGAGUCAAGAGGGGCUUACGUCAGUGUUACCCUGAUUCAAAUUGUUAUGCCACUCCAGUGCCCCGUCUCCGAUCAAAACCUGCUAUAUCUGUCAAUCCCACAAGGUACCUGCGCAGUCGGGGUAAGGCAAAGCAGCAAUAAAGAAUAUACUGCUUUUAAAUAAGAGCUCAAGGUGAAUACACUGAUUUUAAAUAGUAGCCCAGGCUGGCAGGUAGCUGUGUGUAAAGCAGUUUCUCGGGGACUCAGAAUUCUUCUACUAAUCUGUCACCCCCAACAGGGUAAUUUAUUGUCUGUACAUCAUGAGUUCUUGUAGUUUAGAUGCCAAGAAAACCAAAUGUAGGUGUCUGUAUGUCACAGGAGAACCAGUGUUUCCUUCGGCAGCUUCUCAAUAUCACCAAUAAUAUAUAUGUGUGUGUGUGUGUGUGUGUGUGUGUUUGUUUAUUGAGACAGGGUCUCUGUCCUGGAACUCACUCUGUAGACAACUCACACCUCACAACUAAAGGGAGGCGGGCUGCGGGCUGCGCAUCCUGGUGGUCACUGUGUGUGUGUGUGUGGGUGUGUGGGUGUGGCGGGCAGAGAAUGGGGAGAUUGAAGAGAGGAGGGGAAGAGAGUUGAGCCUUGCCCAGGCUCUACUUGAAGGUCUACAAGCUGUAGAGAGGCGGGUGGCAGCUGGAACAUGCUUGGAACUUGUUUGGCCUACGAAGAAGAGAGCAGAGGUGGGAAGGGAGAGUUAGGGGGUUUUUUGAGGUAGAACUCAGAAAAGGGGCAGCCUUCACGAUAAAGUCUACAAGCAGCUGCCUCGACGGAGGGGCUCCUCUCCCAGGGUCGUGUACUGUGAGCACCCCACACGCUUUGGGGCUCUCCGCUGCCUGCAGCUGGUAUCCAUUGCCCAGGAGGUUUCUCUUUCACUGGGCACUGGCUCCAAACAAGUCCUCAGUGACUCUGCCCAUAUCAAU
Molecule: long non-coding RNA, 1661 nt
Organism: Apodemus sylvaticus (European woodmouse)
Lineage: Eukaryota; Metazoa; Chordata; Mammalia; Rodentia; Muridae
Exons: 3
Source: RefSeq, a predicted model, not a curated record